CAGUCGCCGCGGUAAGACAGAGGAUGCAAGCGUUAUCCGGAAUUAUUGGGCGUAAAGGGCUCGCAGGCGGUUUCUUAAGUCUGAUGUGAAAGCCACCGGCUCAACCGGGGAGGGUCAUUGGAAACUGGGAAACUUGAGUGCAGAAGAGGAGAGUGGAAUUCCACGUGUAGCGGUGAAAUGCGUAGAGAUGUGGAGGAACACCAGUGGCGAAGGCGACUCUCUGGUCUGUAACUGACGCUGAGGAGCGAAAGCGUGGGGAGCGAACAGGAUUAGAUACCCCCGUAGUCCCUGUCUCUUAUAC
RNAcentral lists this ribosomal RNA (301 nucleotides) under uncultured bacterium. Its description in RNAcentral is "partial 16S ribosomal RNA". It matches the Rfam family "Bacterial small subunit ribosomal RNA", at positions 509 to 807 of the family's 1533-position model. The record is from RNAcentral.